Molecule: long non-coding RNA, 447 nt
Organism: Eublepharis macularius
Lineage: Eukaryota; Metazoa; Chordata; Lepidosauria; Squamata; Eublepharidae
Exons: 3
Source: RefSeq, a predicted model, not a curated record
GCCCUUGCGCUCCAGCGCCGGCAUAAAGAGCGGCCGGGCGCGGCGCAAUCGUCGCCUGCGCGUUCACUCUCCCAGUAGCCGCCGAACGGAUCCAGCUGAGCCGAGGAUGGACGCGCAAGACUGUCCCUGCGUGAGCGGUGGUGUCUGCAGCUGCGGCAACAACUGUCAGUGCAAAAAUUGCAAGUGCAAAUCGUGCCGAAAAAGCUGCUGUUCCUGUUGCCCGGUCGGCUGCACCAAAUGUGCUCAGGGCUGCAUCUGCAAAGGGCAACCUGCCACGAAAUGCAGCUGCUGCAAGUGAACUUCCCCUUGCUGCCCAAGCAAUGAUCUGUAUAUUUGACUGCCUGCAAGAAUGUAACCUUAUUGUUCAUUUCUAUCUGUGCCUGUGCAUUUUCUACCAUCUAGAUGUUAAAAAAAAAUAAGGAACUUGAAAAUAAAGUGUGUGUGUGU